This 218-nucleotide long non-coding RNA is filed under the name Elaeis guineensis (African oil palm). Its description in RNAcentral is "long non-coding RNA (EGUI_LNC050248)". The record is from RNAcentral. Lineage: Eukaryota; Viridiplantae; Streptophyta; Magnoliopsida; Arecales; Arecaceae.
GUGCUUCCUCAAUCGAUGGUUUAUGUAUUGGUUUAUCUAUCCUUAUAAGUGGUUUGACAGGUGGUUGCCAUUGUGGAUGAACUAUCUGAUCACUAGAUGAAAAAAAUUUUAUAAGCUAUUUCAGAUUCUUGAUCUGAUCAGAAAUUAUAGUCAAAAUCUUCUUCUCCUAAGUCAAUGGGCUCAUAGAUCUCAUCCUAGAUUAGAUUUACAUCAAUGAG